CGCGCACGGUCCACCUGGCGCUCGGGGCCGCGAGCGAGCGCAGCCAGGCCGCCCGGGAACUUUUUUCCUCGCGCUCUCGCUCUCCCGCUCCCCGCGUCGCCCGCCGCCCGCCCGCCCGCCCGCUCUUCCUGUGAGGAGGAGAUCGCGUUUCCCCGCGGCACCCGCGGACACCAGGCAGCCCGGGCGGGUGCGCGGCCAGGACCCGCUCCCCGCGCCGCCUGCUCCCCGCGUUCCCGGGCGCCGCCCCCGCCCGCGUCUAGGCUCCGAGAGGCGACUUGGAGAGCAAGGCGGCGAGGGCGACUGGCGAGCCGAGCAGGCCGCCCAGCCCGCGGCUCAAGCGUCGGCGCGAGGAGGGGCACCGCGGCCCACCUCCUUCCUGCCUGGCCGCGGGCCGGUCGGGCCGCCGCGCCUGACCCCCAUGGCCGCCGAGGCCUCCGGGCCGCUACGUCGCAGCGCCAGACGCAGGGUCCCCGAGUGAGCGCGGGCGCCGAGCCCAGAAGUUAUCUGGGGCCAGGGCAAUGGAACAGUGGAGCCAGUCAUGGCCAUUCUGGUGUCAGCAGCCUCAGCCCAGAAGUCUAGAAAAGCCUUCGUAGCAAAAAACCUUGGCGAGAAGGAGAGGGGUAUCAAGGCUAAUCCAGGCCCCAGAAGCCAGCUAUCCAGUGGGCAAAUGUGACCUUCCCCGACCAGGUGUCCUCGGCUUUUGUAAACAGAGAGUUCUCACCUGCUCCAGAGCCAUCUCCACUUCCACUGGACCAUGGAGUCUUCACUGCUGCAGCUCUUGUAGACCCCUAGCAAAGAAGGUUGGCUUUAAGACUCCUGCCAGUGACCUGCAGGUAUGAAGAAAUACAUUAGGUCGUAGUGCUGUUCACACCCACAUCAUAUAACAGAAAUGAAAGUUUAGUAGUGAAUAAGCCCUCUGCUAUGAAUGCUGGUCUUUGAUGCCUUCUGUUCUAGUAUAUUUGACUAAAAGAAUUACUGGUUACAACCCAGUAAGUCAGUGAUUUCACAAUCUACUGAUAGGUCAUACCCAGUUUGAAAAGGCAGCCCUAGGAAAUGGAUCUGUCGUUUAUUCAUUCAACAAACAGUAAUUUAGACCCUAACAGUUG
RNAcentral lists this long non-coding RNA (1106 nucleotides) under Heterocephalus glaber (naked mole-rat). Its description in RNAcentral is "lncRNA (ENSHGLG00000037740.1)". Lineage: Eukaryota; Metazoa; Chordata; Mammalia; Rodentia; Bathyergidae. The record is from RNAcentral.